This is a non-coding RNA of Cyprinus carpio carpio, 72 nucleotides long. Lineage: Eukaryota; Metazoa; Chordata; Actinopteri; Cypriniformes; Cyprinidae. The record is from Ensembl.
CGAGAAAAUAGUUUAGUUUAGAAUUCUGGCUUUGGUAGCCAGGGGUGAGAGUUAAAAUCUCUCUUUUCUGGG